Molecule: non-coding RNA, 141 nt
Organism: Tissierella creatinophila DSM 6911
Lineage: Bacteria; Bacillati; Bacillota; Tissierellia; Tissierellales; Tissierellaceae
Source: Rfam
CCAACUUUUCCGUAAGUUGAGCCUAAUAUCAACUGCAUUACUGGUAACGGUAGUGUGGUAAGCUGAUAUGAAAAUGUAGCCCUAUUUAGAGGUGAAGCCGUGAGGCAGAACCGAAACUGUUAGCACAAUACGGUUAGGGAG